RNAcentral lists this long non-coding RNA (458 nucleotides) under Marmota marmota marmota (Alpine marmot). Its description in RNAcentral is "lncRNA (ENSMMMG00000016646.1)". Lineage: Eukaryota; Metazoa; Chordata; Mammalia; Rodentia; Sciuridae. The record is from RNAcentral.
CUCCUUCCAGUUAAAUGGUGAACGAGAUGGAUCUUUAUAUCAGCAACAGAAUGAACAUCGAGGCACAAACCUUUCCAGGAAAGAGAAGAAAGAUGUGCCAAAGCCUAUUAGCAAUGGUCUUCCCCCAACACCUAAAGUACAUGUAAGUACAAAUUAUGACAUUAGCUGUUUUCAGACUAUAGCCAAUGAUAAGUAAUUGCUCAAAAGUAUAUCUUAGGUUAGAUUUAUAUCCUAUUAAAAGAACUUUCAUAGCCAUGGUGACAUACAACGGUAAUUACAGCUACUCAAGAGGCUGAAGCAGGAGGAUCAAAAAUUCAAGACCAGCCAGAGCAACUUAAGGAAGCCCGGUCUCAAAAUUUUAAAAGGGUUGGAGGUUUAGCUUUGUAGUAGAGCGUUUGCUUAGCAUGUUGAAGGCCCUGGGUUUGUCCCUAGUACUACCCAAAAAAACAAACAAACCA